ACUAAAUAGAUACCCGGGUAGUCCACGCCCUAAACGAUGUCUACUAGUUGUUGGUGGAGUAAAAUCCAUGAGUAAACGCAGCUAAACGCGUGAAGUAGACCGCCCGGGGAGUACGGUCGCAAGAUUAAAACUCAAAGGAAUUGACGGGGCCCGCACAAGCGGUGGAUUAUGUGGAUUAAUUCGAUGCAACGCGAAAACCUUACCUGGCCUUGACAUGCCACUAACGAAGCAGAGAUGCAUUAGGUGCCCGUAAGGGAAAGUGGACACAGGUGCUGCAUGGCUGUCGUCAGCUCGUGUCGUGAGAUGUUGGGUUAAGUCCCGCAACGAGCGCAACCCUUGCCAUUAAUUGCCAUCAUUUAGUUGGGCACUUUAAUGGGACUGCCGGUGACAAACCGGAGGAAGGUGGGGAUGACGUCAAGUCCUCAUGGCCCUUAUGGCCAGGGCUUCACACGUAAUACAAUGGUCGGUACAGAGAGUUGCCAACCCGCGAGGGGUAGCUAAUCUCAGAAAGCCGAUCGUAGUCCGGAUUGUUCUCUGC
This 538-nucleotide ribosomal RNA is filed under the name uncultured bacterium. Its description in RNAcentral is "bacterial SSU rRNA". It matches the Rfam family "Bacterial small subunit ribosomal RNA", at positions 772 to 1308 of the family's 1533-position model. The record is from RNAcentral.